Molecule: ribosomal RNA, 143 nt
Filed under: Ophiopogon platyphyllus
Lineage: Eukaryota; Viridiplantae; Streptophyta; Magnoliopsida; Asparagales; Asparagaceae
Description: 5.8S ribosomal RNA
Rfam family: 5.8S ribosomal RNA
About the family: 5.8S ribosomal RNA (5.8S rRNA) is a component of the large subunit of the eukaryotic ribosome. It is transcribed by RNA polymerase I as part of the 45S precursor that also contains 18S and 28S rRNA. Functionally, it is thought that 5.8S rRNA may be involved in ribosome translocation.
Source: RNAcentral
CGACUCUCGGCAACGGAUAUCUUGGUUCUCGCAUCGAUGAAGAACGUAGCGAAAUGCGAUACUUGGUGUGAAUUGCAGAAUCCCGCGAACCAUCGAGUCUUUGAACGCAAGUUGCGCCCGAGGCUAUCCGGCCGAGGGCACGC